UCGAAAUACAAAACUUCACACACGAUUUUGAGCACAACAGAGCGCUCAGUGAACAGCACUUCCGGGACCUGCAUCACCAGAGGGGGACAUCUAUCUUGGCCACAAACCAUCUUUGACAGUCUUCGGCAGCAUGGUUGAAUCAGGUGAGCAUAAAAUGGAGUUUAACGUAAUUAAAUAGACCAAUGUUUUUUAACAUAGGAAAAUAGUUCAUUGUAAACAACAGUUAAAUGUUUGUUGUUAUUAAUUGCAAUCAGAUUUGAUUUUAUGAGGUCAAAUUAAGCAUUUCUGUUCUGGGCCAAGGCCAAGGCAUUUAAAUUUUUUUUUUUAAAGUUGCAUGGAAGAUUAUAAGUAGCAGUGAUUGUCACACACUAGGUGUGGUGAAAUUAUUCUCUGCAUUUGACCCAUCACCCUUGAUCUAUGCUAGUAAACCUUUUCUUAAUUUUAAACAAGACAGACUAGAGUUCUUCAAAUUGUUUAUACUUUUUCUCAAAUACAAAUAUUUCAAGCUGAUAAGCACUGUGGAGUAGGCAUGUUACUGAUAUUGUUACAUUAGUUCUUUGUUUGAGAAGCUUCAUGUCUGCACUGAUCCUAAAUUUAACAGUUUUUGAAGGGUUUGGUUCUUUGUUUUAUUUCUGUGUCACUGACUUUUUUCAUUUUUAUGUGUGGAUUUGUUAGGCGCAUCAACACAUGAUAUAGACAUCGUGCCCAAAAGAAGAGCGAGACGUAAUCCUGAGGCUGAAGCUACCGAGUAUAUUUGAUCUGGAUGUGACAAGUCUUGUUUUAAGGCCCAGUGGAUCAAUGAUUGGAAAGACACCAACUGUUGAUGUUCUAUCUCAACAUUCUCCAGAUUCAUGUGACCGAUAAACCGACUUCAUCCCUCCAACAGACACCAACUGUUGGGGUUCUAUCUCAACAUUCUCCAGAUUCAGAUGUGAGCGAUAAACCGACUUCAUCCCUCCAACAGAAACCAACUGUUGAGGUUCCAUCUCAACAUUCUCCAGAUUCAGAUGUGAGCCAUUAACUGACUUCAUCCCUCCAACAG
This is a long non-coding RNA of Nerophis ophidion (straightnose pipefish), 1042 nucleotides long. RefSeq lists it as uncharacterized. Lineage: Eukaryota; Metazoa; Chordata; Actinopteri; Syngnathiformes; Syngnathidae. The record is from RefSeq and is a predicted model, not a curated record. The transcript has 4 exons.